RNAcentral lists this ribosomal RNA (368 nucleotides) under uncultured organism. RNAcentral's name for it is "bacterial LSU rRNA". It matches the Rfam family "Bacterial large subunit ribosomal RNA", at positions 2099 to 2465 of the family's 2925-position model. The record is from RNAcentral.
CUUGACUGUAUCCUGGAAUUGGGUUCGGGCUUUUCUUGCGCAGUCUAGGUGGGAGGCUAUGAAGAUUUCCUUCCGGGGAAGUUGGAGCCAUCAGUGAGAGACCACUCUGGAGAGGCUAGAAUCCUAAUGGUGAUCCUUGAAUCAGGACACUUGACAGUUUCAGGUGGGCAGUUUUUCUGGGGCGGAAGCCUCAUAAAGGGUAACUGAGGCGCGCAAAGGUCCCCUCAGUCUGGACGGAAAUCAGACAACGAGUGUAAAGGCAAAAGGGGGCUUGACUGCAAGACCUACAAGUCGAGCAGGAGCGAAAGCUGGCCUUAGUGAUCCGACGGUACCGUGUGGAAGGGCCGUCGCUCAACGAAUAAAAGUUA